AGACCCGAAACCCGGUGAUCUAGCCAUGGGCAGGUUGAAGGUUGGGUAACACUAACUGGAGGACCGAACCGACUAAUGUUGAAAAAUUAGCGGAUGACCUGUGGCUGGGGGUGAAAGGCCAAUCAAACCGGGAGAUAGCUGGUUCUCCCCGAAAGCUAUUUAGGUAGCGCCUCGUGAAUUCAUCUCCGGGGGUAGAGCACUGUUUCGGCUAGGGGGCCAUCCCGGCUUACCAACCCGAUGCAAACUGCGAAUACCGGAGAAUGUUAUCACGGGAGACACACGGCGGGUGCUAACGUCCGUCGUGAAGAGGGAAACAACCCAGACCGCCAGCUAAGGUCCCAAAGUCAUGGUUAAGUGGGAAACGAUGUGGGAAGGCCCAGACAGCCAGGAUGUUGGCUUAGAAGCAGCCAUCAUUUAAAGAAAGCGUAAUAGCUCACUGGUCGAGUCGGCCUGCGCGGAAGAUGUAACGGGGCUAAACCAUGCACCGAAGCUGCGGCAGCGACACUCAGGUGUUGUUGGGUAGGGGAGCGUUCUGUAAGCCUGCGAAGGUGGCCUGUGAGGGUUGCUGGAGGUAUCAGAAGUGCGAAUGCUGACAUAAGUAACGAUAAAGCGGGUGAAAAGCCCGCUCGCCGGAAGACCAAGGGUUCCUGUCCAACGUUAAUCGGGGCAGGGUGAGUCGACCCCUAAGGCGAGGCCGAAAGGCGUAGUCGAUGGGAAACGGGUUAAUAUUCCCGUACUUGGUGUUACUGCGAAGGGGGGACGGAGAAGGCUAUGUUGGCCGGGCGACGGUUGUCCCGGUUUAAGCGUGUAGGUGUGUGUUCCAGGUAAAUCCGGUUCACUUUAACACUGAGGCGUGAUGACGAGGCACUACGGUGCUGAAGCAACAAAUGCCCUGCUUCCAGGAAAAGCCUCUAAGCAUCAGGUAACAUCAAAUCGUACCCCAAACCGACACAGGUGGUCAGGUAGAGAAUACCAAGGCGCUUGAGAGAACUCGGGUGAAGGAACUAGGCAAAAUGGUGCCGUAACUUCGGGAGAAGGCACGCUGACACGUAGGUGAAGUGAUUUACUCAUGGAGCUGAAAUCAGUCGAAGAUACCAGCUGGCUGCAACUGUUUAUUAAAAACACAGCACUGUGCAAACACGAAAGUGGACGUAUACGGUGUGACGCCUGCCCGGUGCCGGAAGGUUAAUUGAUGGGGUCAGCGCAAGCGAAGCUCCUGAUCGAAGCCCCGGUAAACGGCGGCCGUAACUAUAACGGUCCUAAGGUAGCGAAAUUCCUUGUCGGGUAAGUUCCGACCUGCACGAAUGGCGUAAUGAUGGCCAGGCUGUCUCCACCCGAGACUCAGUGAAAUUGAACUCGCUGUGAAGAUGCAGUGUACCCGCGGCAAGACGGAAAGACCCCGUGAACCUUUACUAUAGCUUGACACUGAACAUUGAGCCUUGAUGUGUAGGAUAGGUGGGAGGCUUUGAAGCGUGGACGCCAGUCUGCGUGGAGCCGACCUUGAAAUACCACCCUUUAAUGUUU
RNAcentral lists this ribosomal RNA (1524 nucleotides) under Salmonella enterica subsp. enterica. RNAcentral's name for it is "partial 23S ribosomal RNA". It matches the Rfam family "Bacterial large subunit ribosomal RNA", at positions 711 to 2215 of the family's 2925-position model. Lineage: Bacteria; Pseudomonadati; Pseudomonadota; Gammaproteobacteria; Enterobacterales; Enterobacteriaceae. The record is from RNAcentral.